RNAcentral lists this ribosomal RNA (674 nucleotides) under Phyllobathelium firmum. Its description in RNAcentral is "partial 18S small subunit ribosomal RNA". It matches the Rfam family "Eukaryotic small subunit ribosomal RNA", at positions 213 to 716 of the family's 1831-position model. Lineage: Eukaryota; Fungi; Ascomycota; Dothideomycetes; Strigulales; Strigulaceae. The record is from RNAcentral.
GAUAAAAAACCAAUGCCCUUCGGGGCUUCUUGGUGAUUCAUGAUAACUUAACGAAUCGCAUGGCCUUGCGCCGGCGAUGGUUCAUUCAAAUUUCUGCCCUAUCAACUUUCGAUGGUAGGAUAGUGGCCUACCAUGGUUUCGACGGGUACCGGUAAGCACAUCCGCUCCCACACGGCAGGCAGGAAAGCUAAUGGACUUUUAGGGGAAUUAGGGUUCGAUUCCGGAGAGGGAGCCUGAGAAACGUAAGUUCCAAUCUUUUAGAUUGACGUCGUUGUGGCAGAAAGCUGACUCGUUGACAACAGGGCUACCACAUCCAAGGAAGGCAGCAGGCGCGCAAAUUACCCAAUCCCGAUACGGGGAGGUAGUAAGUUGAAAUCCGACACCCGGUUUCCCUGUAAUUAUCGCUGACGGUUUAAUCUUCCAGGUGACAAUAAAUACUGAUCCAGGGCUCUUUUGGGUCUUGUAAUUGGAAUGAGUACAAUUUAAAUACCUUAACGAGGAACAAUUGGAGGGCAAGUCUGGUGCCAGCAGCCGCGGUAAUUCCAGCUCCAAUAGCGUAUAUUAAAGUUGUUGCAGUUAAAAAGCUCGUAGUUGAAACUUGGGCCUGGCUGGCCGGUCCGCCUCACCGCGUGCACUGGUCCGGCCGGGCCUUUUCUCCUGGGGAGCCUCAUGCC